Molecule: long non-coding RNA, 585 nt
Filed under: Gallus gallus (chicken)
Lineage: Eukaryota; Metazoa; Chordata; Aves; Galliformes; Phasianidae
Source: RNAcentral
UCCAGAUCUUCUUGUUGAUGAUCUCCACCAGCCCUCCCUUCUCGGUCACCAGUUUGUAGAGCAUGUAGAGAUCCAGGAUCUGCUUCGCCAUGAUGGGGAUCCUGUUGAUGGGGGUUCCCCUCUUCUGCAUGAAGAUGAAGAGGUCAUCCAGGAACUCUUUCCGUUCAGGGUCACUAUCCAGUUCAUAAAGCUUGGCAAAGUCUCGUGAAAUUUCUCUUCCUCGGCAUCCAUCACCUUCAUCACUCCAGGUCACAUUGCCGUUCUGUUUGAGCUGCUCAUCCAAUCUCCAGUUCUGGCGUCCAGACGGGGAGCCGGCAUAUGGCUGCUUAGUAGUGUCCUUACCCUGUUCUUCUUUGCCCUGCUGUCCCCUCUGGUGCCCUGAGGCCGGAAGAGGAUUCGAGGUAGAGGCCACUCUUUGGUUGUGGUGGGCAACUUUGGGAGCGUGAAAAUAUUUCAGAGCGGAGCAGGAUUCUUUUCCAGUCACAUCAGCAGCAUCCUCCAGAUCUCCUCCUUCCAACCCCGCUUCCUCUUCCUCCUCAUCUUCCUCCUCUUCCUCGUCCUCUUCUUCUUCUUCUUCUGGCUCUG